Molecule: long non-coding RNA, 1215 nt
Filed under: Homo sapiens (human)
Lineage: Eukaryota; Metazoa; Chordata; Mammalia; Primates; Hominidae
Description: non-protein coding lnc-ADGRL2-5:2
Source: RNAcentral
AGAAAUAGAUGUUUUCUGUUUGUAUCAUAAGCAUUUAUAGAAAAUUAUUCUAAAGCUUAAUGGUUUGCUAUAAUUCUCAAAUACUACCACUAGCUUAUAAAUCACUUUUAUGUGGACACACACAUGCCUAUUGAAUUUAAAAAGGAAUGAGAUUUAAAAAUUAAGUGCAUAUAUAUAAUAUACAUAUAUAUAUAUAUAUAUAUAUAUUUUUUUUUUUUUUUUUUUGGGACAGAGUGAGACUCCAUCUCCUAACAGUAAAAAAAAAGGAAAGAUACCACAUUUUUAACCAAAAUGUACUUUAUACAUAUUACUGAUGCCUUAUACAACGUAUGGGACCAAUGGGAACUCCUGGAAGUUAUCCAAGUUCAUUUCAAGGCACUAUGGCCACUGAGUUUUCAAGGCCAGCAUAACAUAUCUCUGUCAGAGGGCAUUAAUAAGCUGUAAGUGCACCGUGUAAUUAGGCUAAUUAAAUGUACUACAAGCAUUUUUCAAAUAUUAGCAAUAGACCACUCCUCAGCUCUUAAUAAGUCUUCUCUGGAGUCUUCCUUUUCCUGAUGGCAUUACUUUUACUGAGUGUUCAGUUUCUCAGAAGCCUUCAGAAGCUAGUUUGAUUUUUAAAUCCUGUUGUUUUUACUAGUGAAAAUGUUCUGAAUUAAAACAUUGUGAAAUGCUGUUAGGUAUACUGGCAUUUAACAUUAUGGAUCACAAUGAAAUAAGAAACAACAAAAACAGGUAACAAUACAGUUGAGCUCACCAAAACCUUACCUGCUGUGGGGAAAGAAUACUGCCCCAUGAAUCUUUCACACGUUUCUCUAUUAUACACUUAUCAAAGCUGUAAGACCAAAAUCUCUUAGAAAUCUUUAAAAGGCACAGUUAAGCAAGCCAAUGUUGUGUGGGCAUAAGAGACUAGUGAUGAAUGAUCAAUUGAUGAAUAGUUUUCUAAAUGUGUUUUUCGCAAGCAUUUUUAAAUCACAUGUUAGACGUAAGCUUUUUUAAAAGCAUUGUGGAAAUCACAGCAACAUGGCUUUCUUGUUUGAUUUUAUUAGGCAAAAACGAUGGAUGGUUUGAUAUUCUCUUAGAAAGGCUGACAGCUACUAUAUAGAACCACUCAGGAACAAUAAUGAUAGGUAUCAACGAUACUGAUUAGAUGAAAAAUUCAUUUAUGUUUUUCUGCUGAAUAUCAAUCUUAAUAAAUAGAUGGCUUUUAAACCAAAA